This 403-nucleotide ribosomal RNA is filed under the name uncultured bacterium. RNAcentral describes it as "bacterial SSU rRNA". It matches the Rfam family "Bacterial small subunit ribosomal RNA", at positions 355 to 775 of the family's 1533-position model. The record is from RNAcentral.
UGGGGAAUAUUGGACAAUGGGGGAAACCCUGAUCCAGCAAUGCCGCGUGAAUGAAGAAGGCCUUAGGGUUGUAAAGUUCUUUUGUCCGUGACGAUAAUGACGGUAGCGGACGAAUAAGCCCUGGCUAACUCUGUGCCAGCAGCCGCGGUAAUACAGAGAGGGCAAGCGUUGUCCGGAAUGACUGGGCGUAAAGCGCGCGCAGGCGGUCUUUUAAGUUGGAUGUGAAAUCCCCGGGCUUAACCUGGGAACUGCAUUCGAUACUGGAAGACUAGAGGCCGAGAGAGGAAAGCGGAAUGACGAGUGUAGAGGUGAAAUUCGUAGAUAUUCGUCGGAACACCAGAGGCGAAGGCGGCUUUCUGGCUCGGACCUGACGCUCAGGCGCGAAAGCGUGGGGAGCAAACAG